This 467-nucleotide ribosomal RNA is filed under the name uncultured bacterium. Its description in RNAcentral is "partial 16S ribosomal RNA". It matches the Rfam family "Bacterial small subunit ribosomal RNA", at positions 29 to 523 of the family's 1533-position model. The record is from RNAcentral.
AACGAACGCUAGCGGCAGGCCUAACACGUGCAAGUCGAACGGACAUCGAAGUUGGUUCGCCAAUGGAGAUGUUAGUGGCAGACGGGUGAGGAAUACAUAGGAAUCUACCUAGUAGUAUGGAAUAGUCACUGGAAAAGGUGAGUAAUACCACAUACGCCCUGCGGGGGAAAGAUUUAUCGCUAUUAGAUGAGCCUAUGCUGGAUUAGCUAGUUGGUGGGGUAAAUGCCUACCAAGGCGACGAUCCAUAGCUGGCCUGAGAGGGUGACCAGCCACACUGGAACUGAGAUACGGUCCAGACUCCUACGGGAGGCAGCAGUGGGGAAUAUUGGGCAAUGGGCGCAAGCCUGACCCAGCCAUGCCGCAUGAGUGAAGAAGGCCUUCGGGUUGUAAAGCUCUUUCAGCGGGGAAGAUUAUGACGGUACCCGCAGAAGAAGUCCUGGCUAACUCCGUGCCAGCCGCCGCCGUAA